GAAAGGUGAGGCAGUCAAAUCCUUCCUUCGCCUUCUCCUCCCAUACUCCUAUCUGUCUGAAAUCCAAUCCUCAGUCUUUACAGUCAGAAUCCAUCUUACGGAUGCUUGUUCUCUUCCCAUCUCCUUUCUCUACAAAUCAGGGAUCUGUGUCAUACUCCCACAAACCUUUUCUCUAGUGUUCACUCAUCACCUGUGUCGUCCUUCUUCUUCUGAUCUCUUCCCCCUUUUUCUCUUCAUGUACCGGUUCACCUCUCAGAUCUUCCUCUCUCUAUAUCCUCCGAUGGAAGUUGCCGGAAGAAGUGCCCAAGGGAAUGAGUGAAGCUGCCAGCAUGAUCUAGCUCAAGGAUAAAAGCUAGAUUUUGAUCAUAAACCCUCUUGUAGCUUUGAAGGAACUUGGCCAUAAACAUGAAUCCUGGAGAUGCCAAAGAAUGAAAACAUGAUUAAAGGACAUUAAUCCUGGCUAGGUCAUGCUCUGGCAGCUUCAUUUCUUCCCUUGCUGGGCGCAAUAGAUGCACCACCACCACCAUGACAGGGAAGACGAGAAAGGAGAAUAGCAGUGGUGCUAUUGGGGAACAAAGUACCCCGGUAUGUGAGUGUGGGCUCAAAUGUUUGUGCUGUUUACAUCAAAUCCAUGACAGUAGGACAGUAAUCCAGCUAUAUCUCCAUGGAUUCUUUAUUCCUAUCUUUCCUUGUACACUUGUGUGUGCAAGUUAAACAAGUUACAUGAUCUGAUAUCAGUGAAGCUUCACCUCCUCCAUGUUGAAUUUACAGUAGCUUACAGAAGAUGGAGGUGAAUCAUGUAUCACGUGCACUUCAAAUCAACAUCCUCCAGGUCCAGUAUGUCUGCUUCCAUUGUGCAUUGAGGUGACACAUCUCAAGUGCUUGCAAUUGGUCUGCUAUGAUCAGGACAUCAUCAGCAUGAUAAAAAGGUUGCAGUCUCAGCUACUUCAGGACUUUGGCCUAAUCUGGCUCAAGCACUUGCCUUUGCUGUGGAUUGAUUGAUGUUAAAGAGCAUCCAUGUAAAACAAUAUGUACAUUCUGUUCAUGUUGUUUUGCAAGAGCGGGAACAUAGAGGAUCAGUCUUUAGAUUUGCAUGACUUGAAUCCAGCCUUGAAGUCCACAAGAGGCAUUCAGAAUCUUGAUGAAAUAAACUCACAUCUAUAAGCAUUUAUCACCUAUAUACUCGUUUGCACAAUUGAAAGUGAAAAAUGUAGUGAUCUAUUUCACAUCAUUCAUGAUUUUGUCACUAAACUUAGUUUGAUAUUUAAGAUACAAGUGGGAAAAUAAGAAGAAAUAAAAAAAGACUGUGGUGUCAAUUAAGAACAAACAAUGUGUGUGGUCAAAAUGAGGCUUCAAUUAACUGAAUGAUGCAACAUUCCAAAUGUGUUGCUGCUUGUCACUCUCAGAAUCCCUUAAUGGUUGUCUCAAUCCAUGAAAUAGUUUGUACCUGCAGAUAUGUAUAACCAGCUCAUAAUCCUGUCUGCCUCUACAACAAAAUAGUUUCAUCCAUAUAUAUUGGUCUUAGUUGAACAAUAUGUAUACUCUAUGAGCCUUUUGGACAUCAUCAUGAUAUGACAUUCAGAAUAGUCUUGGUGCAUAUCACCAGAGUAGAUGCCUAAAGUGAAUGAUUUUUUUUCUCUUAUAGUAUGUUUAAAGUGAGUGUUUGAUGCCAAACA
Long non-coding RNA from Musa acuminata AAA Group (dessert banana), 1676 nucleotides. RefSeq lists it as uncharacterized. NCBI's taxonomy places the organism in Eukaryota, Viridiplantae, Streptophyta, Magnoliopsida, Zingiberales, Musaceae. The record is from RefSeq and is a predicted model, not a curated record. The transcript is spliced from 3 exons.